UACGUAGGGAGCGAGCGUUGUCCGGAUUUAUUGGGCGUAAAGCGCGCGUAGGCGGUUUUGUAAGUCGGGUGUGAAAACUCCAAGCUCAACUUGGAGCCUGCAUUCGAAACUGCAAUGACUUGAGUCAGGUAGGGGAACACGGAAUUCCAGGUGUAGCGGUGAAAUGCUUAGAUAUCUGGAGGAACACCAGUGGCGAAGGCGGUGUUCUGGGCCUGUACUGACGCUAAUGCGCGAAAGCGUGGGGAGCGAACAGG
This 254-nucleotide ribosomal RNA is filed under the name uncultured bacterium. RNAcentral's name for it is "partial 16S ribosomal RNA". It matches the Rfam family "Bacterial small subunit ribosomal RNA", at positions 524 to 776 of the family's 1533-position model. The record is from RNAcentral.